CCGGUGUCAGUCACAUCAGCUGCCCGGCCAGGCAGGGAGAGAAAUGCCCAGCAGCUUCCGGGAGUGCCAAAUAAAGACAAGUCCAGAAAGAGAGAGAGACGGUGGCAGAGAUGGAGAAAGCAAGCAAAAAAACUGGAAUGCCAGGGGCGACAGUGGCAUGAAAUUUCAUCUGCUCCUUCAACUCUUCCUUCAGCUGAGGACUUGAAGAGUGAGGAUAUCUCAGUUUUGUAUCCACCUGCAAAAUGAGACUGCUGGCAAGAAUCCCUAGAAGAAAAAGACCACUUUUGUGGAUGAAAGAACAGCUCGAAUUCUGCAGUCAAGCUUAUGCUUCUGCUGAAGUCUCUAUACAGUGACAGCUGUGGUAAUGAAUUUCAGUAUGAAGAUUAU
Pezoporus occidentalis (night parrot) is the source of this 387-nucleotide long non-coding RNA. RefSeq lists it as uncharacterized. Lineage: Eukaryota; Metazoa; Chordata; Aves; Psittaciformes; Psittacidae. The record is from RefSeq and is a predicted model, not a curated record. The transcript has 3 exons.